CCUGGGUUCCAGGCUGGAGGAGGGGCUCACUGGACAACCAAGAAAGGAGCAGGGAACAAUGACCCCCUGGGGAGCUUGGGCUGAGAUCUCUCUGCCAGGCAUGUCGGUUCCUCCCAGGGAAGGAUGCUACCUAGGGGCCUUUUAUUUCCAGCUAAACUUCGUAGGCGUGACAGUGAAGCUGGAGCAGAAGUAUGUGCACUUUACCUCCACCAGCCACCAGUUCGUCCCUGUCCCCAUCGGUGAUACGCUGCCCCCACGGCAGAUUUAUGAGCUGUAUAAUGGUGGCUCGGUGCCAGUGACAUAUGAGGUCCAGACCAACAUCCUGUCAGAAGUUCAGGAAAAAAAUUUCGAUCACCCCAUCUUCCGCUGCCUCAACCCCAAAGGGGAGAUCCAGCCAGGCACCACUGCUCGGGUCUUGUGGAUCUUCUCACCCAUCGAGGCCAAGACCUACACGGUGGACGUGCCCAUCCACAUCCUGGGAUGGAACUCAGCCCUCAUCCACUUCCAGGGAGUGGGCUAUGACCCCCAUGUCAUGGGGAACACGGCCCCCUUCCACAACAUCUCUUCGUGGGACAACAGCUACAGACACUCUAGGCUGAUGGUUCCUGGACAGAAGGUCUUUCUGUCCCAGUCUCAUAUCUCCCUGGGAAACAUCCCUGUGCAGAGCAAGUGCAGCCGCCUGCUCUUCCUCAACAACAUCUCCAAGAAUGAGGCAAUUGUCUUCUCCUGGCACCCAAGGCCUCUAGACUUUGGGGAGGUAUCUGUGAGUCCCAUGGUAGGGGAGGUGGCUCCUGAAGAGAUGGUCCCAAUUAUGGUGACCCUGACAGCCUCAGUGAAUGCCAGCUUCUACAGUAUAGACCUGGUAUGCAAGGUGUACCCACAGGAACUCAUGAGGCAGUACCACAAGAAGCUGCAGGAGUGGAAGGACGAGAAGGUGCGGCAGGAAGUGGAGUUCACCAUCACAGACAGGAUAGUGAAGAAAAGAACAUGUGAUACAACCUGUGUACCUGUGAGGAAGUACAAGACACUGCCCCCCAUCAAGAAACAGCAGUCUCUCCACGAGCCUGUCAGCUGGAAACUGCAGAUCCCACAGGAGCAGCCGUUAUGGCCCUGCCCGCAGCCGCCGCCGCCAGGCAUGCUCUGCCUGGGCCUUACCGCCCGAGCCCACGCCACCGACUACUUCCUGGCCAACUUCUUCUCCGACUUUUCCAGCCACUUCUUGCACUGGGAGCUGCCAAAAAGGAAGGCCCCCAUAGAAGAGCCAGAGACUUCUGAGGAAGAGUCCCCCAACAAGUGGGGCCCUGUCUCUAAGCAGAAGAAGCAGCUGCUAGUUGAUUGUCUCACUACCAUCAUCAGGGGCCUCCUAGAGGACAAGAACUUCCAUGAGUCUGUGAACCAAAGCCUGGUGGAGCAGGUGCCAUACUUCUGCCAGUUCUGGAGUGAGCAGUCAGCCAGGUUCAUGUCCCAGAAGAACAGUCUGCAUGUAAUGCCAAUCCUGUCUUCAUCCACCAGCAGCUGGGAUGAAGAGAAAGACAAGCAGCAGGAGGAGGACACACCAGAGGAGGAGAGAUCGAGGCUGGGGAAGAAGGAGGGGGAGGAAGAGGAAGAGAAGGGUGAGGAGGAAGAAGAGGAGUUAGAGGAAGAAGAGGAGGAAGAGGAGGAGAUAGAAGAGAAGGUGGAGUUGGGCAAGAAGGAGAUAGAGCAGGAGGAGUGGGAGGAGAAGGAAGAGAAGGUGAUUUUUAUGGAGACUGAGCCCACGCUGCCGCCGGAGUCCUCAGAGUCAUCCCAGCAAUGGCAAUGGCAGCAGCAGCUGAAAGACAUGCUCAAGGAGGAGGAAGAACAGGAUGAGAAGGAGGCCAUCAGCAGGCUCCCAGCCUUCGCCAACCUGCGGGAGGCGCUGCUGGAGAACAUGAUCCAGAACAUCCUGGUGGAGGCGAGCCACGGGGAGGUGGUGCUCACCUCCCGGCCGCGCGUCAUCGCUCUGCCGCCGCUUAGCAUACCCAGGAUUCUGACCCCAGACAUGCUGCUUUCGACGCAGUGAGUGGAGGUACUUGACCCAGUGAUGCCACCUCCUACCGACCCUUUGCAGAUGAACAUGCCCAGCACCUCCGACAUGCCGCCCUAGGCUUCCCCCGGCCCCCUCUCCACUGCCCCGACAGUAAAGCAUCUAGCUUUCUUUCUGUAUCUAGCUUGACUUUAUUUCCUCGACGAGGAAGAAAACGGGAGCGCGCUCUGAGAGGGACAGAUGGUGGGGGCGGCUGGAAUGGACCGCAGCCACACGGCAGGGACUGAGGGCCGGGG
This 2301-nucleotide long non-coding RNA is filed under the name Microcebus murinus (gray mouse lemur). RNAcentral describes it as "lncRNA (ENSMICG00000048808.1)". Lineage: Eukaryota; Metazoa; Chordata; Mammalia; Primates; Cheirogaleidae. The record is from RNAcentral.